GAUGAACGCUGGCGGUGUGCCUAAUACAUGCAAGUCGAGCGAACAGACGAGGAGCUUACUCCUCUGACGUUAGCGGCGGACGGGUGAGUAGCACGUGGAUAACCUACCUAUAAGACUGGGAUAACUUCGGGAAACCGGAGCUAAUACCGGAUAACAUGUUGAACCGCAUGGUUCAACAGUGAAAGACGGUCUUGCUGUCACUUAUAGAUGGAUCCGCGUCGCAUUAGCUAGUUGGUAAGGUAACGGCUUACCAAGGCAACGAUGCGUAGCCGACCUGAGAGGGUGAUCGGCCACACUGGAACUGAGGCACGGUCCAGACUCCUACGGGAGGCAGCAGUAGGGAAUCUUCCGCAAUGGGCGAAAGCCUGACGGAGCAACGCCGCGUGAGUGAAGAAGGUCUUCGGAUCGUAAAACUCUGUUAUUAGGGAAGAACAAAUGUGUAAGUAACUAUGCACGUCUUGACGGUACCUAAUCAGAAAGCCACGGCUAACUACGUG
Molecule: ribosomal RNA, 497 nt
Filed under: uncultured bacterium
Lineage: Bacteria
Description: partial 16S ribosomal RNA
Rfam family: Bacterial small subunit ribosomal RNA
Source: RNAcentral